Molecule: ribosomal RNA, 158 nt
Filed under: Hypocreales sp. ENT4
Lineage: Eukaryota; Fungi; Ascomycota; Sordariomycetes; Hypocreales
Description: 5.8S ribosomal RNA
Rfam family: 5.8S ribosomal RNA
About the family: 5.8S ribosomal RNA (5.8S rRNA) is a component of the large subunit of the eukaryotic ribosome. It is transcribed by RNA polymerase I as part of the 45S precursor that also contains 18S and 28S rRNA.
Source: RNAcentral
AAACUUUCAACAACGGAUCUCUUGGUUCUGGCAUCGAUGAAGAACGCAGCGAAAUGCGAUAAGUAAUGUGAAUUGCAGAAUUCAGUGAAUCAUCGAAUCUUUGAACGCACAUUGCGCCCGCCAGUUAUUCUGGCGGGCAUGCCUGUCCGAGCGUCAUU